GCUGACGAGUGGCGGACGGGUGAGUAAUGUCUGGGAAACUGCCUGAUGGAGGGGGAUAACUACUGGAAACGGUAGCUAAUACCGCAUAACGUCGCAAGACCAAAGAGGGGGACCUUCGGGCCUCUUGCCAUCGGAUGUGCCUAGAUGGGAUUAGCUUGUUGGUGGGGUAACGGCUCACCAAGGCGACGAUCCCUAGCUGGUCUGAGAGGAUGACCAGCCACACUGGAACUGAGACACGGUCCAGACUCCUACGGGAGGCAGCAGUGGGGAAUAUUGCACAAUGGGCGCAAGCCUGAUGC
RNAcentral lists this ribosomal RNA (299 nucleotides) under Escherichia coli. Its description in RNAcentral is "partial 16S ribosomal RNA". It matches the Rfam family "Bacterial small subunit ribosomal RNA", at positions 87 to 389 of the family's 1533-position model. Lineage: Bacteria; Pseudomonadati; Pseudomonadota; Gammaproteobacteria; Enterobacterales; Enterobacteriaceae. The record is from RNAcentral.